Molecule: non-coding RNA, 71 nt
Organism: Parelaphostrongylus tenuis
Lineage: Eukaryota; Metazoa; Nematoda; Chromadorea; Rhabditida; Metastrongylidae
Source: the annotation of a GenBank genome assembly
GUCUCGGUGGUGUAGUGGUAGCACACGCGCCCGAUAUGGGUGAGAUUCGGGUUCGACUCCCGCGCGAGGUU